This 357-nucleotide unclassified non-coding RNA is filed under the name soil metagenome. RNAcentral's name for it is "partial contains 5.8S ribosomal RNA, internal transcribed spacer 2, and large subunit ribosomal RNA". The stretch from base 5 to 121 matches the Rfam family "5.8S ribosomal RNA", at positions 38 to 154 of the family's 154-position model. The record is from RNAcentral.
GAUGGAAGAACGUAGCGAAAUGCGAUAAGUAAUGUGAAUUGCAGAAUUCAGUGAAUCAUCGAAUCUUUGAACGCACAUUGCGCCCGCCAGUAUUCUGGCGGGCAUGCCUGUCCGAGCGUCAUUUCAACCCUCGAACCCCUCCGGGGGGUCGGCGUUGGGGAUCGGGAACCCCUAAGACGGGAUCCCGGCCCCGAAAUACAGUGGCGGUCUCGCCGCAGCCUCUCCUGCGCAGUAGUUUGCACAACUCGCACCGGGAGCGCGGCGCGUCCACGUCCGUAAAACACCCAACUUCUGAAAUGUUGACCUCGGAUCAGGUAGGAAUACCCGCUGAACUUAAGCAUAUCAAUAAGCGGAGGA